This 561-nucleotide ribosomal RNA is filed under the name uncultured bacterium. RNAcentral describes it as "bacterial SSU rRNA". It matches the Rfam family "Bacterial small subunit ribosomal RNA", at positions 338 to 915 of the family's 1533-position model. The record is from RNAcentral.
CCUACGGGAGGCAGCAGUAGGGAAUCUUGUGCAAUGGGCGAAAGCCUGACACAGCAACUCCGCGUGCGGGAAGAAGGCCUUAGGGUUGUAAACCGCUUUUGGCAGGAACGAAAAUGACGGUACCUGCAGAAUAAGGUGCGGCCAACUACGUGCCAGCAGCCGCGGUGACACGUAGGCACCAAGCGUUGUCCGGAUUUAUUGGGCGUAAAGAGCUCGUAGGCGGUUCAGUUAGUCGGGUGUGAAAACUCUGGGCUUAACCCGGAGACGCCACUCGAUACUGCUGGGCUAGAAUUCGGUAGGGGAGUGGGGAAUUCCUGGUGUAGCGGUGAAAUGCGCAGAUAUCAGGAGGAACACCGGUGGCGAAGGCGCCACUCUGGGCCGACAUUGACGCUGAGGAGCGAAAGCGUGGGUAGCAAACAGGAUUAGAUACCCUGGUAGUCCACGCCGUAAACGGUGGGCACUAGGUGUGGGUUCCAACCAACGGAAUCCGUGCCGUCGCAAACGCAUUAAGUGCCCCGCCUGGGGAGGUACGGCCGCGAGUAAACGUACAAGAAGUAGACG